GUACAGUGGCGCACGGGUGAGUAACACGUAGGUGACCUGCCCUUCAGCGGGGGAUAACUAGAAGAAAUUUUAGCUAAUACCGCGUACGAAAUAGCAACUUGAAUGAGCUAUUUGAAAGGAUGCCUCUUUACAAUGCAUUCGCUGAGGGAUGGGCCUGCGGGACAUUAGCUUGAUGGUGGGGUAACGGCCUACCAUGGCGACGAUGUCUAGCCGGAUUGAGAGAUUGAUCGGCCACACUGGAACUGAGACACGGUCCAGACUCCUACGGGAGGCAGCAGUGGGGAAUAUUGCGCAAUGGACGAAAGUCUGACGCAGCAACGCCGCGUGAGUGAGGAAGGGUCUCGGCCUGUAAAACUCUGUCAAAGUGGAAGAACGGGUAAGGGUCCAAUAGGCCUUUAUUUUGACGGUACACUUAAAGGAAGCACCGGCUAACUUCGUGCCAGCAGCCGCGGUAAUACGAAGGGUGCAAGCGUUGUUCGGAUUUAUUGGGCGUAAAGCGCGCGCAGGCGGAUGGAUAAGUCAGAUGUGAAAUCUCGGGGCUCAACCUCGAAACUGCGUCUGAAACUGUUCAUCUAGAAUCUUGGAGAGGGAAGUGGAAUUUCGCAUGUAGGGGUAAAAUCCGUAGAGAUGCGAAGGAACAUCGGAGGCGAAGGCGACUUCCUGGACAAGUAUUGACGCUGAGGCGCGAAAGCGUGGGGAGCAAACAGGAUUAGAUACCCUGGUAGUCCACGCUGUAAACGAUGAGAACUAGAUAUGGGUGACUUUGACCUCUUCCGUAUCGUAGCUAACGCAUUAAGUUCUCCGCCUGGGGAGUACGGUCGCAAGACUAAAACUCAAAGGA
Molecule: ribosomal RNA, 841 nt
Filed under: uncultured bacterium
Lineage: Bacteria
Description: bacterial SSU rRNA
Rfam family: Bacterial small subunit ribosomal RNA
Source: RNAcentral